Molecule: non-coding RNA, 23 nt
Filed under: Acyrthosiphon pisum (pea aphid)
Lineage: Eukaryota; Metazoa; Arthropoda; Insecta; Hemiptera; Aphididae
Also listed under: 1 other name
Gene: api-miR-8
Source: miRBase by way of RNAcentral
UAAUACUGUCAGGUAAUGAUGUC